AUGAUGAAAGGGGCCACCUCCCUCUCUGUCGCUGAGCGUCUGGGUCCAAACCUCAGGGCUGCGACGCAGAGCACGAGGAAAGGAGUUGCCGCGAGGAAGUUUCUCGGUCCAAGGACGGGAUCCCUCAGGGGGCCCUGCGUUCUCCCUCCUGGUCUUCCUCCCGCACCGCCGCUUGGGACCCCACGAGAUUCUCCACCCCGCGCGUUCUCCUCCCGGCUCCCGGCGCUCACCACCCAACCUGGGGGCGCAUCGGGGCCUGGGCGGUGGGACCCGGCCCUCGGGACCGAAAGGCGCCCAGCGGAGAGGGGGCAGUCCUGGAAAGAAAAGGGGCUGGAGAACCAAGAGGUCACCAUUCGAUGGACAGAGACUUCACGCACCACGGCCAUAUCUAUCUGGGACCCUUCAUGUUGAGACAGAUCCUGCCGUUGAGACAGAUCGAUUCGGUGGCAAACUCAGCGAGGGGCAGGGAUGAGCACACAGACUAAACCCUCCCUUCCCUUUUUGAAGACAGCGAGAUGGUGGGAAGCCUGACGGCGGGCGCCGUGUGAGUCCCGGACCUGCCGCUUCCGGCUCGACGACCCUGGGCCGGCUACCGGCGCU
This 600-nucleotide long non-coding RNA is filed under the name Felis catus (domestic cat). RNAcentral describes it as "lncRNA (ENSFCAG00000041809.2)". Lineage: Eukaryota; Metazoa; Chordata; Mammalia; Carnivora; Felidae. The record is from RNAcentral.